RNAcentral lists this long non-coding RNA (2471 nucleotides) under Capsicum annuum. RNAcentral's name for it is "long non-coding RNA (CANN_LNC009038)". The stretch from base 1362 to 1474 matches the Rfam family "mir-172 microRNA precursor family". The record is from RNAcentral. Lineage: Eukaryota; Viridiplantae; Streptophyta; Magnoliopsida; Solanales; Solanaceae.
GAUUUAAAAAUCUUUGCUACAUUGAUCUAACAAUAGUAAUUUCUAAUUUGUAUGUCUUAUAUAAUUGAUUUCAUGACAAAUAUAAGAGAGGAACAUUAUUGUAAAUAACAACUUAAUUUUUAAAAAAUAAAAAAAAUAAAAAAAAAUCUCGACUCUUUUCUUUGCAAGCAGUGCUUCUAUUAUAUUCUGCUCUCUAUAGCUAUAUUUUAGCCACGAGCCCUUCAGCAUCCUCAUCAGAGACCUACAUUCAUUUAAAAUAGCAACGUUAGGAUUAUCAAGAAAUUUGUACGCCUACAUACCACACAAAUUUCUCCAUGUUCUGCUCUUUAUAGCUAUAUUUAAGCCACGGGCCCUUCAGCCUCCGCAGUAAAGACCUACAUUAAUUCAAAAUUGCAGCGUUAGGGUUAUCAAGAAAUUUGUAUGCUUACAUACCACACGAAUUUCUCCACGUUUUGCUCUUUAUAGCUAUAUUUAAGCCACGGGUCCUUCAGCCUCCGCAGUAAAGACCUACAUUAAUUUAAAAUUGCAGCGUUAGGGUUAUCAAGAAAUUUGUAUGCUUACAUACCACACGAAUUUCUCCACGUUUUGCUCUCUAUAGCUAUAUUUAAGCCACGGGCCCUUCAGCCUCCGCAUCAAAGACCUACAUUCAUUUAAAAUAGCAUCGUUAGGGUUAUCAAGAUAUUUGUACGCCUACAUACCACACAAAUUUCUCCAUGUUCUGCUCUCUAUAGCUAUAUUUUAGCCACGGGCCCUUCAGCCUCGGCAUCAAAGACCUAUAUUCAUUUAAAAUAGCAUCGUUGGGGUUAUCAAGAAAUUUGUACACUUAAAUACCACACAAAUUUCUCCAUGUUCUGCUCUCUAUAGCUAUAUUUUAGCCACGGACCCUUCAGCCUCUGCAUCAAAAACCUACAUUAAUUUUAAAUAGUAUCGUUAGGGUUAUCAAGAAAUUUGUACGCUCACAUAUUGCGGUAUAAAGAAAUACGAUUUAAUUACGUAUUAGGUAAAAAGAUAGUCUGGUGCACUAAAGCUCCCUCUAUGCGCAGGGACCGGAGAAGGGCCCCACCACGAGUGUAUUAUAUGCAGACUUACCUUGCAUUUUUUUGUCCGAAGCUGUUUCCAAGGCUUGACAACCCGUGACCUCCUGAUCACAUGACAACAACUUUACCAGUUACUCCACGACUCUCCUUUAAUAAGAACUUAUUUAAGGUACUUUAUUAACUAAGAAAUAUCAUCAAAUUAACCAAAAGUAGUAAUAAUCAACAACUAUAAUCACAUAAAAUUAAUCACAGUCCAAAGAUAAACUCACCAAUUAAAGAUGAUUUGCCCAAAUUUUCUUGAAGAAUUAAAGAAUUAAUUAGUCAUUAUUUGCCAAUGCAGCAGCAUCAAGAUUCUCAUAUAUUAAAAAUAUUAAACAGUUUUCAUUUUCUGUUUUUUUUUUCUAUGUGAAUCUUGAUAAUGCUGCACUAGCAAGCAACAACUGCGUGUUCACCGAACUCACAAAUUUUAAAUUUCGACUCUAUCACUGGGGUAUAUCGUCAAUUCAUGCACGAUUAAUCCAUUUUUUUAUAGCGGAGCAAGAAAUUCUAACAAAGAAAUUCAAACGAAUGCAAUAAUAUCACACUUCAGAGUCAAACAAAUCAAACUCACUAAUAAAAGAAAAAUUCAAGCAAAUUCAAAAAUAUAAUUAUAUAUAUAUAAUACAAAAAAAUAUAUUUUUAUCCUUUAAUUUGUAUAAGUUUCAGGCGAAGUGGAUUCAAUUGAACUCAUUCGAAACAUGUGGCUCCAUCCUAGACUUAGAAAUUUUCAUAAUUAAUAUAGCUCAAAGCAUUUUUUUUUUUUAAAGACGAGGAAAAAGAGAUAAGAGAAUAAAUUAAAGAAAUCAUUGCGAAUAUCAGAGAUCGAGUGGAAAAUAAAAAAAAUAAAAUCAAACAAACAAUUCUAGGGACAUGUACCUUAAAUGAUGUGAUGUGAGCAAUUAGGUGAAUUUAUUAUAUAAAGAGAUCAAAUAAUUAAUCUAAUAGAAUAAAUCUAGUACUAAGAGCUAAAAAAAAACUCAAUUUGAGAUAAAGAAUAAUAAUAUAAAUAGAUUAUUCAGGUGUUUGAAGAACCUUGGAGAUUGAUGAUUAAAAAUGAGCAGAAAUUUCAGUUACGAUUUUAAAAAAGAUAACAACAAAAACAAAAACUCUAAUAUAAAAGUAAUGGAUCGAUCAUUAGAUUAAUCGACAAGUACUCAACGACAACAUCAACAACAAUUAUAAUAUUAGAAUCUCAAGUAAAUUGUAUCAAUCUUUAUGAUUUAUAUCGCUCUGACAUAAAAUUCAUAUUAGUCCAAUACUAUAUAAAAUAAAAAUCUAAAAGCAUAAUUACAAAAAAAUUCAGAAAGGAGAAAAGAAUUAUGUGAAAAAUUAAUUGAAUUUGACAAAUUGAAGUUGGAAAAAAAAUGAAAAAGAAAAUAAAUAUUUGAAGAAGAA